UGCAAGUCGAACGGACCUUCGGGUCAGUGGCGGACGGGUGAGUAACGCGUGAGAAUCUGCCCUCAGGAGGGGGAUAACGGCUGGAAACGGCCGCUAAUACCCCAUAUGCCGCGAGGUGAAAUGAAUUUCGCCUGAGGAUGAGCUCGCGUCUGAUUAGCUAGUUGGUGGGGUAAAGGCCUACCAAGGCGACGAUCAGUAGCUGGUCUGAGAGGAUGAUCAGCCACACUGGGACUGAGACACGGCCCAGACUCCUACGGGAGGCAGCAGUGGGGAAUUUUCCGCAAUGGGCGAAAGCCUGACGGAGCAACGCCGCGUGAGGGAUGAAGGCCUCUGGGCUGUAAACCUCUUUUCUCCAGGAAGAAGACCUGACGGUACUUGAGGAAUAAGCCACGGCUAAUUCCGUGCCAGCAGCCGCGGUAAUACGGGAGUGGCAAGCGUUAUCCGGAAUUAUUGGGCGUAAAGCGUCCGCAGGCGGCCCUGUAAGUCUGUCGUUAAAGCGUGGAGCUUAACUCCAUUUAAGCGAUGGAAACUACAGG
Molecule: ribosomal RNA, 536 nt
Filed under: uncultured bacterium
Lineage: Bacteria
Description: bacterial SSU rRNA
Rfam family: Bacterial small subunit ribosomal RNA
Source: RNAcentral